GACGAACGCUGGCGGCGUGCCUAACACAUGCAAGUCGAACGGAAACGCCCUGCUUUUGUGGGCUGCUCGAGUGGCGAACGGGUGAGUAACACGUGAGUAACCUGCCCUUGCCUUUGGGAUAACCUCAGGAAACUGGGGCUAAUACCGUAUAGGAUCUCCCGCUGCAGGGUGGGCGUUGGAUCGUUUCGGCGGUUGGGGAUGGACUCGCGGCUUAUCAGCUUGUUGGUGGGGUAGUGGCAUACCAAGGCUUUGACGGGUCGCCGGCCUGGGAGGGUGACCGGCCACGAUAGGCCUGAGAUACGGCCCAGACUCGUACGGGAGGCAGCGGUGGGGAAUAUUGCACAGUGGGAGGAGGCGUGGUGCGACAACGCCGCGUGCGGGAAGACGGCCUUCGGGUAGUGAACCGCUGUCGCCUGAGACGAGGCGUUAGUGACGGUAAUGGGAGAAGAAGCACCGGCUAACUACGUG
RNAcentral lists this ribosomal RNA (468 nucleotides) under uncultured bacterium. Its description in RNAcentral is "partial 16S ribosomal RNA". It matches the Rfam family "Bacterial small subunit ribosomal RNA", at positions 28 to 507 of the family's 1533-position model. The record is from RNAcentral.